Molecule: ribosomal RNA, 472 nt
Filed under: uncultured bacterium
Lineage: Bacteria
Description: partial 16S ribosomal RNA
Rfam family: Bacterial small subunit ribosomal RNA
Source: RNAcentral
GACGAACGCUGGCGGCGUGCUUAACACAUGCAAGUCGAACGCUGAAGCUUGGUGCUUGCACUGGGUGGAUGAGUGGCGAACGGGUGAGUAAUACGUGAGUAACCUGCCCUUGACUCUGGGAUAAGCCUGGGAAACUGGGUCUAAUACUGGAUACGACAUGUCACCGCAUGGUGGUGUGUGGAAAGGGUUUUACUGGUUUUGGACGGGCUCACGGCCUAUCAGCUUGUUGGUGGGGUAAUGGCUCACCAAGGCGACGACGGGUAGCCGGCCUGAGAGGGUGACCGGCCACACUGGGACUGAGACACGGCCCAGACUCCUACGGGAGGCAGCAGUGGGGAAUAUUGCACAAUGGGCGGAAGCCUGAUGCAGCGACGCCGCGUGAGGGAUGACGGCCUUCGGGUUGUAAACCUCUUUCAGCACGGAAGAAGCGAAAGUGACGGUACGUGCAGAAGAAGCGCCGGCUAACUACGUG